This 69-nucleotide transfer RNA is filed under the name Mus musculus (house mouse). It matches the Rfam family "tRNA". Rfam says of the family: Transfer RNA (tRNA) molecules are approximately 80 nucleotides in length. Their secondary structure includes four short double-helical elements and three loops (D, anti-codon, and T loops). Further hydrogen bonds mediate the characteristic L-shaped molecular structure. tRNAs have two regions of fundamental functional importance: the anti-codon, which is responsible for specific mRNA codon recognition, and the 3' end, to which the tRNAs corresponding amino acid is attached (by aminoacyl-tRNA synthetases). tRNAs cope with the degeneracy of the genetic code in two manners: having more than one tRNA (with a specific anti-codon) for a particular amino acid; and 'wobble' base-pairing, i.e. permitting non-standard base-pairing at the 3rd anti-codon position. The record is from Rfam by way of RNAcentral. Lineage: Eukaryota; Metazoa; Chordata; Mammalia; Rodentia; Muridae.
GUGGUAGCUCAGUUGGUAGAGUGUGUGCCUAGAGUGCAUAAAGCCCUGGGUUUGAUCCUGGGAACCACA